Molecule: long non-coding RNA, 2989 nt
Organism: Prionailurus viverrinus (fishing cat)
Lineage: Eukaryota; Metazoa; Chordata; Mammalia; Carnivora; Felidae
Exons: 3
Source: RefSeq, a predicted model, not a curated record
GCUGGCCCUACACCGACUUGCCAGCACCCAUCCCCUCUCAGCCAGGGGAAUUCUGCCCAGUUUUUGAGGAAGCUACCAGCAAUAACGAUUCUUCCAAAAUGAAGACUUCAGCCAAUAAAGAGGGAGGCAUGCAGUCCAGGAAGCAGGCAAUCCCCACAGGAGGGAAGGAGAGGCACAGGGGGCCACUAGGCCAAGCUGGAGCAGGUCAGAAGCUCUGGGGACACCUCUUCACAAGGUUCUUGGAGCUUCUUGAUCUUUGAUGGUAGAAUGACACCCUUGUCUCUUUUCACUAGUUCUUCCAAGUUAUCCCAGGUGACAAUUUAACAAAUAUUCUACCAUUGGAUACAUGAUGGUCAACCCUUAAGCCAAUGCUACAAAUAUUAUUUUUUGUUGCAGCAGCACCCCAUGUUUGGUUAACCUUCUCUAUCAGUCAGGAGCAGCUAAGUUAUGCUAUAGUAACAAAUGAUGCCAAAAGUUCCAUCACUUGAAAUACCAAAAGGUUAGUUUUCAAUAUAUCAAAGGUUGGCUGGGGAACUACUCUGGUGGGUGAUCACCCUCAACCCAGCAUCCAGAUCAGUGGGGCAGCCAUUCUCUGGAACACUGACAGUCCCUUCUGUUCAUAACAGUCAUAAGGACUGUGCUACCCACAGGGAGCCAGGUGCAGACCCAUCAUGUCCCCAGAAGGCAAGGAGCUGAGCUAUUCAGUGAAGCAUUAACAGUUUCCACAAAACCUGUGACUUCUACAAAAUGUGACUUCUGAGGCUAUUGAGAAAACUGGCAAAGAGUUUGGGAUUGACUUAAUGGUAAGUAGAUAGAAAAUUAAAUGAACAGAAAAGAAGACAAGCCAGAGCUCCAAAGAAAACAAAAGGAAAGUCCAUUGUAGUUGACCAUUUGGCUCAGUUACAGGGGGCAUUUUCAUAAUAAGAGUAACAAACAUGGAGCAUUGAUCUAAUGAACUAUUCUAUAUUACUCUAGUGGGGCCUUUUGAGGAGUACAUGUGGGCAGAGGAGGCAAGACGAAAGGAAGCUAAGUCCACAUCUACAUAUGGGGAGAUAACCAACAGCAACCCAAACUGAAAGCCCAAGAGGUAGCAAUGUGAUCAUUCUGUGGUAGAUAGAGUUCCAAGAUGGCCCCAACCUUCCAGCCCCUGGUCUACACAUACCUCCUCCCAUGUAGUCAAACACUGAUGCAGGUGUUUCUGUGAAGGCAUUCUACAUAUGUGACCCAAAUCAGCUGACUUUAAGAUGGGAAGGUUAUCUGGUGGGCCUGACCCAGUCUCAUGACCCCUUUCAUCUAGGUCUAAGGGUCAGAGAUAGGAGGUCAGAGAGAUAGGAAGCAUGAGAGGGAUUUGAGGUGGGGAAUAUUUUGUGUUGCUGGCUUUGAAGAUGGAGGAAAGGUUGUGUGGCAAGGAACCUGGGUGGCUGAGAGUGGCCUCCAGAUGACAGCCAACUGGAACUGGGGACCUCAGCCCUAUGACCAUAAAGAACAGACUUCAACCACAAUCAUGUGAGCUUGGAAGAGAGCCCUGGGCUCCAGAGGAGAAUAUGGCCUGAGUGAUACCGUGAUUUUAGCCUCAUGAGAACCUGAGCAGAAAACCCAGCUGCACCAGCCCUGGACUUCCGACCUACAGAACUGCCAGAUCAUACAUGGAUGUUUAAAGCUGCUAAGCCUGUGGUAAUUUGUUACACCAUAGGAAACUCAUACACACCCCGUCUGAGUUACAGAAAUAAUCAGGGAAGAGAGGCAAGAGGGAUUGUCUCUGGGGAGGGGGAAUAAAGGAAGGAAGGGAAGUUAAAGACUGCUGUGUUUCAUAAUAAACCCUGCACCUUUAAGGUAGCUACAUGUUUAACUUUGAUUUAAAGAAUAAUCACAAUUAAAAGGUUUAUCAGAGACUACCAGCACCCAGCUGCUACAGACCGAAUGCUUGUGUCCCACCCUGCCAAAUUCAUAUAUUGAAAUCUACCCCCACCCCCACCCAUAGGAAGGUAUUAGCAGGCGGGGCUUUGAGAGGUGGUUAGGUCAUGAAGGUGGAGCUCCCGUGAAUGGGAUUAGCACCUUUACAGAAGAGACCCCAGAGAGCUCCUUUGUCCCUUCUGUGUUGUGAAGACACAGUGCUUUGUGAAGUUCCUAUCUGUGUACCAGGAAGUGUGUUCUCACAAGACAUCAAACAGACUAAGACACCAACAAGAUCCAUCCCCAAUUUCUAUACCAGUGACUGACCACAUUUCCCACACAACUGUGCAGUCGGCCAGGUAACCGAGUUCUCCGUCUGGGAAUGUGAAUGGAGGGCUGUGGGGUUGCUUCUGCACUGGGGCUUUUAAGAGAGUGGGCUUCUGUCCUGCCUGUUCUCUUUCCCCUGCUGCCAAUUGGAUGAUUAUGACAACAAACCUCUUGGGGAUGAUGGAGCCCCCAAAUAGAAGAGACUGGGACCCAGAAAUCGGGCCGAAAGUGCUCUCCUGGAUGGCCACUGUAUUUCAGCCACAACAAUUCAGGGCCUGCCUGUUAUUGGAGCUUAGCUCAUCCUAGCUAAUAUAAAAGUGGACGUGAGAGCAAGGGAUGGAAGAAAAACAAGAAAACAAGGUGUACGAAGAAGGGGGCUUGGUCCCAGGCAAAGCGUGGGUUGUGCAUUGUGCUACUGUGUUAUUCUCUAGGGUUGCUUCUUGGUGGCAGUCAGGCCGUGGGGUGCCCGCUCUGGGCAUCGUCCUCCUACUCCUUCUUCCUGGGGCAGCCACAGCCUCUAAGUCCUGCAUCUACUCGGGGCCCUGGCCUGGAGCUGGGCUGAGGGUGGCUGGAGUUUAUCUAGGACCAUCUCAUGAUGUCCUGAUGCUUGGCACCCCCCACUCACAGAAGGCAAACAGUGUUCUCUUCAUCCAGCCCAGGGGCCACUCGUAGGCUCCCACCUGUCCCUGUCUCCUGACUUAAUCACAUUAUCAUAAAGAAUUGCUUGCGCCAAGGAGGACUUUGACCCUGAGGUUUUGCAGUCCUCAAG